Molecule: long non-coding RNA, 1314 nt
Filed under: Equus caballus (horse)
Lineage: Eukaryota; Metazoa; Chordata; Mammalia; Perissodactyla; Equidae
Description: lncRNA (ENSECAG00000056160.1)
Source: RNAcentral
AUCAUUGGGACUCUGUCAAGGUGAUGCUCUCCCUAGGUCAACAAGUACAGUAAACCCAGCUUUGCCUGACCAACGGACCUCCCUGCUUAUCUUUGGCCAAGCCUUAGACUUCAUCCUACUGUGAAAGAAUAGAAGCAAAGGCAAAGAACACAGGAACAGAACAAAAUGCCAAGAAUGUUCGAUUUAAAGAUUACGAAGAAGCACGCCAACAGGAAAGAACCUGAGCCACACUGCAUGGCUGACUCCUGGAAAUGCAGGGUGCUGACAGAGUAAUGCCACUCUGAUAAUUAGGGAAAGAAGAGCAAGAAAUCUAAAUGUGGAUCAAGAUUAAUUGAGCAUCUCCUUGUUUAUAUCUAUCCUUUUGGAGAAAAAUCAAGAAGAAAUACCAAGCUAUCAGUGAAACACUCUGUUGAUCCACAGGAUGCCUGGAGCAGCUAGACACUCUCCAAGUUCUGAACUCUGUGAUUCUGCUGUUCUCUGCUGAAGCUGUCUUUCCCUGAGCCUGCAGAAACUGGAGAAACACUGACUACGCUAGAGGCAUCAAGAUUUGGAGAGACAGACCUGUAAAAUCACUAACCUUGGAAGCUCGGUGGUUAAGAGCCUAAUUUUCUUUUGGUAAAAUUAUAAUAAUCACUUUGACUCCCUGUCUUGUCCUGCCCACUCUGGCCUGCCCUAAUCCUCCCGGAUGAUAAUAGGCAAGAACAGCAAUCUAUGAAACAGGCUGCACAAUCACCUCCAUCCCAAGCCAGGACAGUGAACUCCUGACAUUUCCCAGUCCAAAGUUCCUCCCAGACGGUGGGGAUGAGAACUAGAAAAGGUGAGACAAUGUGAGUAUGCAUCUAAAUGAUGGCUCAUUUACAUAGACUUUGACCAAAGUCUGCGGAGAAAAUAAAAGGCGUCAUAUCCUACACAGAAGGUCUUAGCUCAAAUGAUCACUUCAUGGACUCAGUCUUCCCAAAAUCCUCCUAGAAUUUCCACCAAGGUGGGGGCUCUGCCUGUAAUUAUAAUUUACUUCAUUUACAUGAGUUUUUUCUCAUUAUGUCAUUGUCAUGAGAAGAGAGCCCCAUUUCAUAGGCAGCUAGGAAUGGUUUGGCCUUCAGUUGGUUGAACUUCAACAGUUUUCUUGGCUCGCCUUGUUUUGAUCUUUGUGAAGAUAUACAGUUCUCCACAUUGCUUUUCCCUACUUCUUCAGAAAGCUUUGGUGGCCUGUGUUGGUUCCUUCAAAAUCUGAUUUCAUACAUUUUACUUCAGCUUCUUUUUCGGAACUAUACUGCUAUUACAAUGAAAGUUUUCACCACAUACCUCUGUUUUCUG